CCUUCUUUAUUCAAUGCAUCACUUUGAUAGAGAGGUUUUCAGAUUAUAAAUCUCACGGUCUCAGGAUUUUAGACCAAUCACAAACCACACAACCAAGCCACACAAUCAAGUACAUAGAGAACUUCACAGUAUCAUUCAAUGCAUAUCAAUCGCUAUUAAGAGUUUAUCUAUCAAAUAGAAUAAACCAUAACCUACCUCCACCGAAGAACUGAUGUCAAGCAAGCUACUUUCCCAAUA
This 237-nucleotide long non-coding RNA is filed under the name Solanum tuberosum (potato). RNAcentral describes it as "long non-coding RNA (STUB_LNC003592)". Lineage: Eukaryota; Viridiplantae; Streptophyta; Magnoliopsida; Solanales; Solanaceae. The record is from RNAcentral.